Molecule: ribosomal RNA, 517 nt
Filed under: uncultured bacterium
Lineage: Bacteria
Description: bacterial SSU rRNA
Rfam family: Bacterial small subunit ribosomal RNA
Source: RNAcentral
AGAACUUAGCAGAGAUGCUUUGGUGCCUUCGGGAACUCUGAGACAGGUGCUGCAUGGCUGUCGUCAGCUCGUGUUGUGAAAUGUUGGGUUAAGUCCCGCAACGAGCGCAACCCUUAUCCUUUGUUGCCAGCGGUCCGGCCGGGAACUCAAAGGAGACUGCCAGUGAUAAACUGGAGGAAGGUGGGGAUGACGUCAAGUCAUCAUGGCCCUUACGAGUAGGGCUACACACGUGCUACAAUGGCGCAUACAAAGAGAAGCGACCUCGCGAGAGCAAGCGGACCUCAUAAAGUGCGUCGUAGUCCGGAUUGGAGUCUGCAACUCGACUCCAUGAAGUCGGAAUCGCUAGUAAUCGUAGAUCAGAAUGCUACGGUGAAUACGUUCCCGGGCCUUGUACAUACCGCCCGUCACACCAUGGGAGUGGGUUGCAAAAGAAGUAGGUAGCUUAACCUUCGGGAGGGCGCUUACCACUUUGUGAUUCAUGACUGGGGUGAAGUCGUAACAAGGUAAGCGUAGCGAG